This 1015-nucleotide long non-coding RNA is filed under the name Homo sapiens (human). RNAcentral describes it as "non-protein coding LRRC75A-AS1:87". The record is from RNAcentral. Lineage: Eukaryota; Metazoa; Chordata; Mammalia; Primates; Hominidae.
GGAUUGGGAUAUUCCGACUCCUUAAGGGCCUGGCGCACAUAAGGUGUGACCUUUUCAUUCCCGUUGUUAUGGAGGGCCACAUCUGCCAGAGCCUGGAGUCUGCGAAGGCCGGGACCCGGUUCCCCGGCCCACAGUGGGGGUGUGCAAACCCGAGAGAACUGGUCGCUGAAACCUCUACAACUUAGUUGACCGUAACUGCCAGAGCCCUGCCCUGAAUUCCUGUCCUUACUCCCUCUUUAAGAUUGCGUACCCACUGCAGAGUGCUGAAGACGGGGUAGCCACGAGGUUGCAAAUUCGUGAAGAAUCAGCAUCAUGUUUGGCAGCUGAGUAUUGGAGCCAGGAGCCUGCCAUGAGGUUAUAUUCCCAGAGGAUGUCAGUCCCAAGGACCAGUAGCUGCCAUCAGUUUGGAUUCUGAAAACUAACUGGCAUCAACACUGGGUGUAGAAACAUGCUUGCCUUAUGUAUCAGAGGACAUGCUCAGCAGAUCCAAGAGAUAUAUUUGGCAACUUUUUCUAGAAAAGGCACAUUGGGUAUCAUUCAUUACAUUCUUGAGUUUUUUUGGGUUUUUUUUUUUUUUUUUGAGACAGUCUUGCUGUAUUGCCCAGGCUGGAGUGUGGUGGCACAAUCACAGCUCAUUGCAUCCUCAAUCACCCAGGCCUAAGCAAUCCUCCCACCUUGUAGCUGGGACUACAGCUCACAGCACACCUGGCUAAAAUUUUUUUUUUGUUGAGACGGAUUCUCUAUGUUGCCCAGGCUGGUCUCAGGCUCCUGGGCUCAGAUGGUCCUCCUGCCUCAGCUUCCAAAGGCACAGGCCAAGUUGUAGCUUUGUCCCUUGCCAUCAUGCCCAACAAGAGGUUCUAUACCUUUUAAUGAAUUGACUUUCAUAAAUUGGUUAUGUUGGUGGGCAAAGUUCUUUAAGCUGGAAAUUGUAAAUUCCUCCUGAAAUGUUUUUUCAUGCAGUUACCAUGAACUAAUACUACAAUAAAGGAUGGUCUUGGGUGUCAAUUCUUGAAAA